GCUUGUUUCAGUUAGGUUACAAGGACCAAAGAGUGCAAAAGGUAUUGGUCGUGUUGAAGUAUUCCACAAUGGCCAAUGGGGAACGAUCUGUAAUAAUGAAUGGGAUAUGAGAGAUACUAGGGUUGUAUGUCGUCAACUGGGUUAUCAAUAUGCCGUCAGACAUUUUCAUUGGAGGCAGGAUCUUCCUGGUUCUGAGCGUAUAUGGUUGGACGACGUUGCUUGCAAUGGAAGAGAGCGAAAUAUAACAAGUUGCUCUCACAAUGGAUGGGGAAAUCAUAGUUGCGUGCAUUCGCAAGACGUUGGAAUUGAAUGCACUAACACAGCUUCAAAUGUGUCGGUGAGAUUACAAGGGCCUUCAAGU
Molecule: long non-coding RNA, 361 nt
Organism: Dendronephthya gigantea
Lineage: Eukaryota; Metazoa; Cnidaria; Anthozoa; Malacalcyonacea; Nephtheidae
Exons: 2
Source: RefSeq, a predicted model, not a curated record